CCUACGGGGGGCAGCAGUGAGGAAUAUUGGUCAAUGGGCGCGAGCCUGAACCAGCCAAGUCGCGUGAGGGAAGACGGUCCUAGGGAUUGUAAACCUCUUUUGUCGGGGAGCAAAAAACGCCACGCGUUGCGUUCCGAGCGUACCCGAAGAAAAAGCAUCGGCUAACUCCGUGCCAGCAGCCGCGGUAAUACGGGGGAUUCGAGCGGUAUCCGGAUUUAUUGGGUUAAAGGGGUGCGCAGGCGGAAGAUCAAGGCAGCGGUAAAAUUGAGAGGCUCAACCUCUUCGAGCCGUUGAAACUGGGUUUCUUGAGUGAGCGAGAAGUAUGCGGAAUGCGGGGUGUAGCGGUGAAAUGCAUAGAUAUCACGCAGAACUCCGAUUGCGAAGGCAGCAUACCGGCGCUCAACUGACGCUCAUGCACGAAAGUGUGGGUAUCGAACAGGAUUAGAUACCCCUGUAGUC
Molecule: ribosomal RNA, 459 nt
Filed under: uncultured bacterium
Lineage: Bacteria
Description: partial 16S ribosomal RNA
Rfam family: Bacterial small subunit ribosomal RNA
Source: RNAcentral